GACGAACGCUGGCGGCGUGCUUAACACAUGCCAGUCGAACGGAAAGGCCCUGCUUUUGUGGGGUGCUCGAGUGGCGAACGGGUGAGUAACACGUGAGUAACCUGCCCUUGACUUUGGGAUAACUUCAGGAAACUGGGGCUAAUACCGGAUAGGAGCUCCUGCUGCAUGGUGGGGGUUGGAAAGUUUCGGCGGUUGGGGAUGGACUCGCGGCUUAUCAGCUUGUUGGUGGGGUAGUGGCUUACCAAGGCUUUGACGGGUAGCCGGCCUGAGAGGGUGACCGGCCACAUUGGUACUGAGAUACGGCCCAGACUCCUCCGGGAGGCAGCAGUGGGGAAUAUUGCACAAUGGGCGGAAGCCUGAUGCAGCAACGCCGCGUGCGGGAUGACGGCCUUCGGGUUGUAAACCGCUUUCGCCUGUGACGAAGCGUGAGUGACGGUAAUGGGUAAAGAAGCACCGGCUAACUACGUG
This 468-nucleotide ribosomal RNA is filed under the name uncultured bacterium. RNAcentral's name for it is "partial 16S ribosomal RNA". It matches the Rfam family "Bacterial small subunit ribosomal RNA", at positions 28 to 507 of the family's 1533-position model. The record is from RNAcentral.